This 1433-nucleotide long non-coding RNA is filed under the name Homo sapiens (human). RNAcentral describes it as "non-protein coding LINC01146:21". The record is from RNAcentral. Lineage: Eukaryota; Metazoa; Chordata; Mammalia; Primates; Hominidae.
UCCUCAAUUUGAUUAGCAGAACAUUCAGCAGGAACUGUGGAAAUCCAAGUCAAGUAAUAUUCUCAACAGAUGAUGCAUAUCAUAAAUUAUUACUCACCCCAUGUUCCCACCCUCGAGAGACCUCCAAACAAUCACCAUGCCACAGUGAACAUUCAGUAACAAAAAUUCAGCCAGGGUUUUCACCAGCAUGAAUGGCAGUGAUUCCAAUCAGGAAAACAGAAAGAGGAGAGUUCAGAGCCACCUAGAAUGGCUCUUGCAAGAUACGAAAUCAAGGCAGCAGCAACAGGGCUGAACAUUCCUCAUCCCUAACUCUCCCUUCACCAGUAGGAAACCCAGGAUAACUGCAAUCACCGCAGGCCCAUCUGGCCUGAAGUUCUACUACUAGUAGCCCUCCAUGGGACCUUCUUAAGGAAGCAUGUCAACUCAGGUAAGGGAUGUAAGGGGAUGGAUGACCCUUUGAGGCCAAAGUUGGAGCAAAAAACACCAGAUGUUCCUGUGCACUGCUCCUAAGAGAUGGUUCUGAAGACCAGUUCGGGGAGAGGUCAAAAUACUGGACAGAAUCUCAGCAACAUGGAACCUCAAACUAAGUGACAGUCACAGACAACUCUUCCCCAAAGAAAAUAAGCACAGACAUGGUUUGUGGUAAGCAGAAUUAUAAAGAUGAAUUCCCAUCUCCCUGUCAGAUUACCAGUAUGGUAAAUUACCAGAUUACCUGGUUAUUUAUUCAAACACUAAUACAGUUAUUGCCUUGAUGGAAACAUACAGAUACAAUUAAAAUCCCAAGUACCAAAUAAAUUGACCUUAAGACAAAGACUAAGUAAAUCACAUGAGCCCUCUACAAGCAGAGAGUUUUUCUCCAGCUGGUAGCAGAAGCCAGAGAUUUGAAGCAUAGGAAGUAUUCAACACAUUAUUGCUGGCCUGAAAAUGGAAGGGGCCACAUAACGAGGGAAACCGGUGGCCUCUAGAAGCAGGGAGCAGUCCCCUGCUGACAGACAGCAAGCCAAGACCUCAGUUCUACAAUUGCAAGACACUCAAUUCUGCUAAGGACAAAAAUGAGCUUGGAAGUGAACUCUGAGCUUCAGGUGAGAACACGGCCAAACAACACCUUGAUUUCAGCUUAAACAAAGAAUGCAGCCACUCCAUGCCAGAAUUCUGACCUGUAGAAAUUUGAGCUAAUAAAUAGAUGUUUUAAUAGCUUCAUCGAUACAUACUUCACUUACUGUAAAAUUCAUUAUUUUAAAGUGUACAAUUCAGUGGUUUUCAGUAUAUCCACAAAAUGCAACCAUCACCACUAUCUGAUUUCAGGAUUUCUUUUUCUUUUCUUUUUUUUUUAAUCCCAUAAAGAAAAUCCAAACCAAUUAGCAGUCUUUCUUCCUUCUCCCUGCUCCCAGCCCGUGAAAACCACUAAAUUACUGUCUGUUUCCAUGGAUAUG